GACGAACGCUGGCGGCGUGCUUAACACAUGCAAGUCGAACGGAAAGGCCCUGCUUUGGGGGGGUGCUCGAGUGGCGAACGGGUGAGUAACACGUGAGUAACCUGCCCUUGACUUUGGGAUAACUUCAGGAAACUGGGGCUAAUACCGGAUAGGAGCUCCUGCUGCAUGGUGGGGGUUGGAAAGUUUCGGCGGUUGGGGAUGGACUCGCGGCUUAUCAGCUUGUUGGUGGGGUAGUGGCUUACCAAGGCUUUGACGGGUAGCCGGCCUGAGAGGGUGACCGGCCACAUUGGGACUGAGAGACGGCCCAGACUCCUACGGGAGGCAGCAGGGGGGAAUAUUGCACAAUGGGCGGAAGCCUGAUGCAGAAACGCCGCGUGCGGGAUGACGGCCUUGGGGUUGUAAAACGCUUUCGCCUGUGACGAAGCGUGAGUGACGGUAAUGGGUAAAGAAGCACCGGCUAACUACGUG
This 468-nucleotide ribosomal RNA is filed under the name uncultured bacterium. RNAcentral describes it as "partial 16S ribosomal RNA". It matches the Rfam family "Bacterial small subunit ribosomal RNA", at positions 28 to 507 of the family's 1533-position model. The record is from RNAcentral.